GUCUCAGAGGUCUGAUUCACUCGGUUGCGUUUCAUUGGUUGAUUGGAAGAACGAGCUUUUCGAACCUCUCAGUAUAUCAGCCAAGGUAAGCAGGAAGAACCUGUGCAGCAACUUUACCUAACUCCUGCUGUGAUGUCCACUCUACGGCGGAGUACUCAUAGUAGGGACUUUCCGUGCUGCAUCUAUGGCACUUCUCUUCUCCAGGAGCCAGGAGGUUGGGGGGAAGCCUCCCACAUUCUCAUCAGGGGUCCUAAUUAUGGCGGCAAAACUGCACUUUUCUGGAAUUCUGUAAUUGUAAUCUCAUGUCUUGGAUGUAGAAGAACAGGAGUCCAAUAAAGUGACUCACUUCUGGAGGGAAAAGAAGAGCGGUGCGAUGACCAGCAGCACCAGCAGCAGGACCACGGCGCUGACCAGCCCCGACACCUGCGUCUGGCAACCCGUGGACUCCUUGACCAGCGUUUUGGUCAGGGCGGCGCUGGUGGUGAAGCAGCGGAAGAACGACGGCAGGAUGUUGCAGAAGCCGAUGGCGUACAUCUCCUGGUUGGCAUCCACUCGGUAGCCGUGCUUCUUGGCGAACAUCUCGGACAGCGACACCGUGAUGGCGAAUCCCACCAGCGCGACGGAGAAGGCGUCCACCGCCACGUUGGGGAUGAGGGACCAUGAGGGGAGCUGCGGCGGGAGGAAGCCCGUGGGGAUCUCCCCGGCCACGUCGGAACCGUAGUCGGUGUUGAAGUGGCCAAAAUGAGACGCCAGCGUCGCGAUGAUGACAACAAAGAGCUCGAAGGGAAUUGGAGCCUGGGAAACACAAAAGAAACAGUAAGUUAAGAUCUUUACUGUUUGUGUGUUGGGUACUUGUACUUCCCGGUUGAUGGAAAAAGACGCUCACAAUGGAUGGGCUGUGCCAUCAUAUUCAUACCAAACGGUUAAAAGUCACCAUAACCCCCAAAAUGUAUUCCUCAGCCUUCUAGCAGUUGCUUCCAGAUCCAAAUGUUCCCGGUUUGAGAUCAGUUGUGGAGUGACAAACCUGUACAAGGACUUGUUUUUACCUUCAACUUGGCCUUGAAGCGGUAGUUGAGCUCCUUGGCGGGUACCAGCACGAGUAGACACACCAGGCUGGUCAGCAGGUCACACAGGUUGGUCUGGCCCAGGCUGGCAAGCACACUGAACCAGGUCUUGAACAGCGUGAACCAGCCCUGCGCCCUGCGGAUCUUCAGUCCUAGGAGGUACUUGACCUGCGAGGUGAGGAUGGUCAGGGAGGCUCCGGUGGCAAAGCCGCUCAGGAGGGAGUCGGAGAGGUAGACAGAUACGAAGCCCACCUGGAAAAUACCCAUCAGCACCUGAGAGAGAGAGAGAGAGAGAGAGAGAGAAUAAGAGGUAAACAGGAAGUGAUGGUUGACAAAGAUGUAAAGUGGACUCAGCAGGUGUAGAAGCGCUCGUACCUGAUAGACACCUGCGGUGAACGUGACCGUCGCCCCCACAGCUAUUGCGUAGCAGCUCUUGUCACACUCCACCACCGCGCUGUUGUUCCCUUGGGCUGCCAGGAGGGCGGCGCUGUUGUUACUGCUCAGGCCCUCGCUGAGGUAUCCCGCCACUGCCAGCUCCCUGUCCACCACCUGACCCACAAGCAGGCAAAGCACCCCAAAAAUGCCCACGGAGAUGUGUCUGGAGGUGCCUAGCAGGGUGUAGAUGAUGGAGGAGAAGAAGGACGUGUAGAGCCCGUAGAUGGGGUCCUGACCAGCCAAUAGGGAGUAGGCGAUGGACUGGGGGACCAAUAAGAUUCCCACAAUGAGUCCAGACAUGACGUCGCCCAGGAUCCAGUCUCUCAGCUGGUACUGUGGCAGCCAUUUUAAGAUGGGAACAAAGCCCAGGAUCUUGGCCUUGACCUUCUGCGGAGAGCACGAGCAGUGCUUCUUCAGUCGGCGUGACACCACGGUCUGACAGCUUUGAGGCGCUCCUUUCUCCACUCUUUCCAGGACGAGCGGCUGGUGCUGCCCGCCCUCGGCGUUGCUCUCUGGUGCUGUGGUGCAGCAGUCAUCUCUAUGAGGCAUCAUCCAGCUCGUCUCUGCGGUCCACAAAGGUGGUUAACUACUCUUUACACGUGUGUCUGUUAAGAAUACAACUUAUAACAUUCCCUGUACACUUAAUAAGCGUUUUAUGAUACCCACAGUUUGACCCUGGAACAGAUGGUUUCUAUUUACAUGAUUUCCUGUGGGAUUGUAAAUAUGUUUACCCUAUAUAAGACUUACCUAGAUAAGAAUGCUGUGUAGCUAUUUUAACUCACAUACUACACAGGUAAUGAACACAACUACCGAGGACUUCUGUUUUCAAUGUAAAUUAAUCAUCAAAGUAAAUAAACAAAUGUGUAAUAAUAU
Long non-coding RNA from Dunckerocampus dactyliophorus (ringed pipefish), 2372 nucleotides. RefSeq lists it as uncharacterized. Lineage: Eukaryota; Metazoa; Chordata; Actinopteri; Syngnathiformes; Syngnathidae. The record is from RefSeq and is a predicted model, not a curated record. The transcript is spliced from 3 exons.